UUUCGCGAAAGAUGGAAUAAACUGUCUUUUUUUAAACCAAAUCAGGGGAAAAAACGAAUGAUUUAAGUCCAGAAGCCUCUCAGUACAAGGUGGCACUAGUUUGAAAGUGUUUGGAUGGAAAUAAUUCUGUCCGAAUGCCUGGAAAACUCUGAAAUUGAGACCACGUGUGACUAACUAUGGUGUGACAUAAUUCAAAUCAACUACGAGAGAAUACCCACCGCAAGAGAUCUACCGAAUGAAAUCCCACUGGGGCAUUGCCAACUUUGGAUUGGAGUUCAAGACUAAAGAGAUCUGCUACACAGACCCAUCUUGGAGAGGAACCCUGACACUGGAUUACAAAAAUGGGACCAAUUGAGUUCUGCCCCACAGUCUUUCAAGACACUGCAACAUUAGAAAUGAAACUGCAAGGGACAAGUCACAGGCCACUUCCCUGCUUGGACAACUGGUCUGAUCCUUCAAUGCCCAAGAUCAGGUAAGAUCAGACAAACUGUUUAUUUCCUUAAACAUCUAUGUAAUUUUGUAGAAAUUUUGGGUGUAAAGGCAAGGAAUAUUUUCAAUAUCUUGAGGAACCAGACAUCAUGUCUUCUGUUCACACUUGAAGCAGCUAAAAUCCUCAUAAAAUUGAUUCUUAAUACAGUUAAAACAAAACGUUUUUCCUUCUUCAAAUUUCCUCAGUCAUCACAACACUUUCUGGCUCUCGAUUUUGAAUAUUCUCAUUAUUUCUUCCCUGGAUAAAGUACUUAAAUUUUGAUGAAAUAUUUCAAGUCAAUCACUUGUGGAUGAAUGGAUAAGUGUCCAGCAGA
Stylophora pistillata is the source of this 803-nucleotide long non-coding RNA. The record is from RefSeq and is a predicted model, not a curated record. NCBI's taxonomy places the organism in Eukaryota, Metazoa, Cnidaria, Anthozoa, Scleractinia, Pocilloporidae.